GCGCAGCAGGCGAGAAUUUUUCUCAAUGGGGGAAACCCUGAAGGAGCGACGCCGCGUGGAGGAUGAAGGCUUUCGGGUUGUAAACUCCUGUCAUUUGAGAACAAGUGGCCGAACGUAACUACUUCGGCCUUGAUAGUAUCAGAAGAGGAAGGGACGGCUAACUCUGUGCCAGCAGCCGCGGUAAUACAGAGGUCUCAAGCGUUGUUCGGAUUCAUUGGGCGUAAAGGGUGCGUAGGUGGCGCCGUAAGUCGGGUGUGAAAUUUCGGAGCUUAACUCCGAAACUGCAUUCGAUACUGCGGUGCUUGAGGACUGGAGAGGAGACUGGAAUUUACGGUGUAGCAGUGAAAUGCGUAGAGAUCGUAAGGAAGACCAGUGGCGAAGCGGGUCUCUGGACAGUUCCUGACACUGAGGCACGAAGGCCAGGGGAGCAAACGGGAUUAGAUACCCGCGUAGU
Molecule: ribosomal RNA, 454 nt
Filed under: uncultured organism
Description: bacterial SSU rRNA
Rfam family: Bacterial small subunit ribosomal RNA
Source: RNAcentral